AUUAUAUCAGUUAUCAUUUUCUUGAACGAAUUUACAAACCUACAUGGAUAACCGUAGGAAUUCUAGAGCUAAUACAUGACAAAAAUCCUGACUCCUCGAGAGAAUAAGGAUGAAUUUAUUAGAUUACAACAAACGCAGAGGCAUCUAACUGUAUGAAACAUUGUUUUGUAUGGGCUUCUGGCCUUUUAUUAGGCGUAAACGGUGAUUCACAAUAACUAAUCGAAUCGCAGAGACUUUUUAGUCGGCGAUGUUACAUACAAAUUUCUGCCCUAUUAACUUUAGAUGGUAGUGUAGUUGACUACCAUGGUGUUCAUGGGUACGGGGGAUCAGGGUUCGGUUCCGGAGAGGGGGCCUGAGAAAUGGCCACCACUUCCAAGGAAGGCAGCAGGCGCGCAAAUUACCCAAUCGCAACUCGCGGAGGUAGUGACAAGAAAUAUCAGUGUAGCGACAAUGUUGCUAUGUUUGGAAUGAGAGUAAUAUAAAAAAAUUAACGAGGAACCAUUGGAGGGCAAGUCUAGGUGCCAGCAGCCGCGGUAAUUCCAGCUCCAAUAGUGUAUACUAAAGUUGUUGCAGUUAAAAAGCUCGUAGUUUGAUUUCGGACGUUGGAUUUAGUAGUCUACACAAUGUUGUACGUACUGCAAAUACAAUUCCUUUUUUUCAGGAUUACAAUUUAUUUUGUACCUGAUCAUUUACUUUGAGAAAAUUAGAGUGUUCAAAGCAGGCGUAAUUUUGCCUUUGAAUAUAUUAGCAUGGGAUAAUAGAAAAUGGCUUUGAGAGGUGUUCUCGUUUAGUUUUACAUAACCUCUCAAGCAAUGAUAAAUAGGGAUAGUUGGGGUAAUUGGUAUUUGGUCGCAAGAGGUGAAAUUCUAAGAUUGACCAAAGACUAACAGAUGCGAAAGCGUUUUACAAGGAUGUUUUCAUUAAUCAAGAACGAAAGUUGGGGGAUCGAAGAUGAUCAGAUACCGUCGUAGUCUCAACCAUAAACUAUGUCGACCAAGGAUUCGGGGGUGUUUAAAAUGAAUGACCCUCUGGGCACUUAUAGAGAAAUCAUAAGUAUUUGGAUUCCGGGGGGAGUAUGGUCGCAAGGCUGAAACUUAAAGGAAUUGACGGAAGGGCACCACCAGGAGUGGAGCUUGCGGUUUAAUUUGACUCAACACGGGAAAAUUUACCAGGUCCAGAGAAUAUAAGGAUUGACAGAUUGAGAGCUCUUUCUUGAUUUAUUUGGUGGUGGUGCAUGGCCGUUUUUAGUUCGUGGAGUGAUUUGUCUGGUUAAUUCCGAUAACGUACGAGACCUUAACCUAUUAAAUAGUUAUAUAAACGUUUUGCAAUUUACGCAAUUUCUGUUUAUAGAAAUACUUCUUAGAGGUACAAUUCAUGUAAAGAGUGAAAGGAAGUUUGAGGCAAAAACAGGUCUGUGAUGCCCUUAGAUGUUCUGGGCUACACGCGUGUUACACUGGUACAUUCAACGAGCUUUAUAUUUUCCUUUCCCGAUGGGGAUGGGUAAUCUUUUAAACAUGUACCGUGAUGGGGAUAGAGUAUUGUAAUUUUUACUCUUGAACGAGGAAUUCCUAGUAAGUGCAAGUCAUUAACUUGCGCUGAUUACGUCCCUGCCCUUUGUACACACCGCCCGUCGCUCCUACCGAUGAAUGGUCCGAUGAGGACUCGGGAUGGAUCUUGAUUUUGUCAUUGACAUGCAAGUAUCCAGAACUUGUUCAAAUCUUAUCAUUUAAAGGAAGGAGAAGUCG
RNAcentral lists this ribosomal RNA (1745 nucleotides) under uncultured eukaryote. RNAcentral's name for it is "SSU rRNA". It matches the Rfam family "Eukaryotic small subunit ribosomal RNA". The record is from RNAcentral.